CCCGCGCCGCGGAAAGCCGGACCUCCGCCACCUGGCAAGCCGGACGCCCCGGGAUCAGGUGUCGCCACACAGCAAAGCCAACGUUUGCCAACACCUGAGCUUCCCCCGGCUUGAUACCAGAAGGAGGGUAGUAACCGAGAUAGAAUUACAUCACACAGUAUGCCUGUCCCUUGUAAUCAGAGAAACUGCAUAUCAGCCUAGCAUCACAGGUGAGAAACCAAAGAUCCCUGAAGACUCACUGAGUCCCACCACUGUUCAGCUAGACCAUCACGGAGCCAACCCUACAGGUCAGCGCUCCAGAAUUCCAGGUCCGGGCUGGCCCUGGACUACAAAUGUGUCAUCCAUAUUCAAGAUGACCUCAGCCAGAGGUUACGACUUUUUAUCCAGCUUUUUAUCCAGACUUAGUCGAAGUCUUAUAGUCUCUAUGGAAUAUACUUAUGGUCCUCAGACUAUACUGAUAUAUCCAUGAUAUAAACAUUAUUAAGCACACUACUAUGAACCACACAAUAUUUUAAAUAAAAAUAUAAGUAAAAAUGAGAACAAAGGUAGAAAACUCACUUACCUUCUAGGCCCAAGCAGAUAACAAAAAUGAGUGAGACAGGCUAGACUGUGGGGUUACCAGAUACAAUACAGGGUGUCCCAACUGAAUUGCACCAGUUAUAUAAGACAUACAUUGAAAACAGUAAAAUAAAAUCGCUGUUUAUGUGAAUGUCAGGAAUUUGCGGAGAACUGGAAAGUGCCUGCCCCUCUCACCAGCAGAGGGCAGCUGCCUCAGUCUCAGAGGUUGUCGCCAUGGGAAACACAGCCCUGAGGUCACCAAAUUAUUUAAACUACAUCAGCUGGGAAGCCAGGCUUUUAGUAAACUCUCCCACACUGUAAAAGUGCUCAACUGAUUUGGAAAAAUUUACAGACUACUUGGGGAAAAAAAACAUCUGUAGAUUCUGAUGGUGUUUAAAGAAAAUGAAG
Molecule: non-coding RNA, 966 nt
Organism: Odocoileus virginianus texanus
Lineage: Eukaryota; Metazoa; Chordata; Mammalia; Artiodactyla; Cervidae
Source: RefSeq, a predicted model, not a curated record